This 1238-nucleotide long non-coding RNA is filed under the name Homo sapiens (human). Its description in RNAcentral is "HSALNT0008502". Lineage: Eukaryota; Metazoa; Chordata; Mammalia; Primates; Hominidae. The record is from RNAcentral.
AGCGACUUUCCCGGCAAAAACAAAUAAGUUGACUUAAGGCAGGAUCCUUCCAUUGAGAUGAAUGUGGAUUCUGGAAACAAAUUUAUAAAAAUAAACUUAUUUUAAAAACCAGUAUAUUCUAGUAAUUAUACUUUUGAGGAGAAAACACUUGAACAUUCUAUAUUUUGGCUAUGUGACAUGGAGACAAAUUAGAAGCACAAAAAAAUUAAAGUUUCUUCAAGGUAGUUGGGUUCCCUGCAAAAGCGUUAAGGGUAAUUACCUAUUAAACUACACAUUGCAAAGUCUGAACCCAUGCAACCCAAGCUGAACCACAUACAUAUGUUUGCAUAUCUGUUCAGUUUUGCAUGAGAGUAUCAUUCACCGGUUUGCUCUACCAAACUUGUUACCCUGACCUGAGUGAAACAGUUUUGAGAAAGAUUUCCAUGCUGUGUGCACAAUGAGAUGAGAGCUGCACAGCAGUUAACUGGAAUUGCCAUCAACCAUACUCCAAGAGACAGAAUAGUACUUUUAAGGAGUAGCAAAAUAAUCGGGCUGUCACUUGACUAGACCAGUCAAAAAAGAGCAAAAUUUAGAAGACAAAAGUAGCACAUUUACCCCUGAAAACAUAACUUCCCUACCUACCAAAGGUUUUUAUCAGGAAAAAAAAAAAGAGCCAUUAAAAAAAUGCAAGAUUGCAGAGAAAAAAAAUUCCACUCUAUCCUCUUAAUGUAUUUCUAGGGAAUUAACAAGGUUUGUCUCCUACACAAUUUCUAUUUUUAGCUCUGACUGGCAGAGAAUGAAGCUGACUCCUUAAUGAGGGGUGAGCCAGGAAUUCAUUUGGCUUUAUCUAAUCUGCCCUGCUAAAGGAAUUAGUCACGGGAGGCAGUGCAGAUGUAGGUAGGGAGUAGCUGGGCUGACUGCUGACUCACAGGGAUCUCUUCCGCUGCUGGCAGUCCCCAGCAUGCUUAGACAUGUUCUGUACCACAGAAAAUCCUGGUGAUGAAACUAGCACAUCUCGGCUGAAAGUCCAGCCACACUCUAGUCGGACAAAGGCAGCCACCCUCCUGACCCCCACCUACCACAGAUCCACAAUCAGGCAACCCAGCCCUGACUCCCGUCCUUCCGGGGCUCUACCCUGCAGGCUGCAGUCCCCCAGUCCCUUACCGUCACCAGCACGCAGUGCAGGUCCGGGGGCUGCUCGGCGCCCUCGCUCCAAAACGCCUGGAUCAGGGUGAAGUGGAUCUGCAGAGCCACAUCUC